CAGCCGCUCCCGCAUUAAAAUUUCAUGGGCGCUGCAGCAGCCACAAAGACGACGCCGGCUGCGCUGGGGGACAGGGGGAGGGAGGCUGCGGACGAGCGCGGGGAGGAGUUUGCGAGGGGAGGCGCUUGCAGGGGCUCCCCCAGUUCUGCGCUGCGAGCCGGGGCACAAAGAGCCCUCUGCACUCGCGCCGCAGGGCCGCGGACCGAGGGCAGUAUUACAGAGUUUAUUCAUCAAGGCGGUGAGGGUGGCGGACAGCGAAGCAGUUGACAUGCUCCCUCCACCCAUGUCGGCCUCAGCGGGAAGGCGUUUCUCUUCUCUGAGCCUCGAUCUCCUUAUCUUUCCGCCGGAGGCACCUGUCCACCCACGUGGCUCCAGACACGUUAAUGUGGCUGCCGUGACCCCAUUGGUAUCAAAGGAGUAACCAAGGUGAUCUUUCUCUUCCUCCUCCUCCUCCUCCUCCUGGGCACCCAGCUUCACCCUUUGAGGUCAGAUCCAUCGUGAAAUCCUAUGUCCUGAGACCUCCUGACUCUCAGAGGUUUUCCUUUUCUGGACAUUUUGUAUAGAUGGGAUCAUGCCAUAUGUGUUCUGAUGUGUUUGAGGCUUGUCCACGCUGCAAGCGCAGCAAGUUCCUGGGACAAAGGAGAGAGAAGGGAGGACAUUCCCAGCCACGCAUUGGAAGCCGCCUUGCAGAUAAGUUUUGAAACUCACCACCCACAGCCCACCAGCCUGCCCUCUCCUGGUCUGUGCAGGAAAGAGUGUAGUAUUCUAGAAUGCUAGAGCAGGGCCGGGCACAGUGGCUCACGCCUGUAAUCCUACCACUCUGGGAGGCUGAGGAGGGAGGAUCGCUUGAGCUCA
Long non-coding RNA from Microcebus murinus (gray mouse lemur), 855 nucleotides. RefSeq lists it as uncharacterized. NCBI's taxonomy places the organism in Eukaryota, Metazoa, Chordata, Mammalia, Primates, Cheirogaleidae. The record is from RefSeq and is a predicted model, not a curated record.